RNAcentral lists this ribosomal RNA (748 nucleotides) under Priestia aryabhattai. Its description in RNAcentral is "bacterial SSU rRNA". It matches the Rfam family "Bacterial small subunit ribosomal RNA", at positions 48 to 766 of the family's 1533-position model. The record is from RNAcentral. Lineage: Bacteria; Bacillati; Bacillota; Bacilli; Caryophanales; Bacillaceae.
CUAAUACAUGCAAGUCGAGCGAACUGAUUAGAAGCUUGCUUCUAUGACGUUAGCGGCGGACGGGUGAGUAACACGUGGGCAACCUGCCUGUAAGACUGGGAUAACUUCGGGAAACCGAAGCUAAUACCGGAUAGGAUCUUCUCCUUCAUGGGAGAUGAUUGAAAGAUGGUUUCGGCUAUCACUUACAGAUGGGCCCGCGGUGCAUUAGCUAGUUGGUGAGGUAACGGCUCACCAAGGCAACGAUGCAUAGCCGACCUGAGAGGGUGAUCGGCCACACUGGGACUGAGACACGGCCCAGACUCCUACGGGAGGCAGCAGUAGGGAAUCUUCCGCAAUGGACGAAAGUCUGACGGAGCAACGCCGCGUGAGUGAUGAAGGCUUUCGGGUCGUAAAACUCUGUUGUUAGGGAAGAACAAGUACAAGAGUAACUGCUUGUACCUUGACGGUACCUAACCAGAAAGCCACGGCUAACUACGUGCCAGCAGCCGCGGGUAAUACGUAGGUGGCAAGCGUUAUCCGGAAUUAUUGGGCGUAAAGCGCGCCGCAGGCGGUUUCUUAAGUCUGAUGUGAAAGCCCACGGGCUCAACCGUGGAAGGGUCAUUGGGAAACUGGGGGAACUUGAGUGCAGAAAAAGAAAAGCGGAAUUCCACGUGUAGCGGUGAAAUGCGUAGAGAUGUGGAGGAACACCAGUGGGCGAAAGCGGGCUUUUUUGGUCUGUUAACUGACGCUGAAGCGCGAAAGCGUGGGG